RNAcentral lists this ribosomal RNA (443 nucleotides) under uncultured Eubacteriales bacterium. Its description in RNAcentral is "bacterial SSU rRNA". It matches the Rfam family "Bacterial small subunit ribosomal RNA", at positions 338 to 795 of the family's 1533-position model. Lineage: Bacteria; Bacillati; Bacillota; Clostridia; Eubacteriales. The record is from RNAcentral.
CCUACGGGAGGCAGCAGUGGGGAAUAUUGGGCAAUGGGGGAAACCCUGACCCAGCAACGCCGCGUGAGGGAAGAAGGUUCUCGGAUUGUAAACCUCUGUCCUUGGUGACGAAAAAAAUGACGGUAGCCAAGGAGGAAGCCCCGGCUAACUACGUGCCAGCAGCCGCGGUAAUACGUAGGGGGCAAGCGUUGUCCGGAAUGACUGGGCGUAAAGGGCGUGUAGGCGGCCGAUUAAGUCUGGAGUGAAAGUCCUGCUGUAAAGGUGGGAAUUGCUUUGGAGACUGGUUGGCUUGAGUGCGGAAGAGGUAAGUGGAAUUCCCAGUGUAGCGGUGAAAUGCGUAGAGAUUGGGAGGAACACCAGUGGCGAAGGCGACUUACUGGGCCGUAACUGACGCUGAGGCGCGAAAGCGUGGGGAGCGAACAGGAUUAGAUACCCCGGUAGUC